AACAGAGUAAAUGAUUAACGUUAAGUGCUUCCGGAUGGGAUGUUGCCGGUAGACGAAGUGGCUAUCACGCGGUUGAUCAUUGCCUCCGCUGUU
This 93-nucleotide non-coding RNA is filed under the name Facklamia hominis. Its description in RNAcentral is "THF-I sequence". It matches the Rfam family "THF (Tetrahydrofolate) riboswitch aptamer". From Rfam's summary of the family: THF riboswitch presents a pseudoknot that joins P1-P2 and the loop of P3 and two THF binding. The record is from RNAcentral. RNAcentral also lists the same sequence under 1 other name. Lineage: Bacteria; Bacillati; Bacillota; Bacilli; Lactobacillales; Aerococcaceae.